GAUGAAGAGCGUAGCGAAAUGCGAUAAGUAAUGCGAAUUGCAGAAUUUCCGUGAAUCAUCGAAUCUUUGAACGCACAUUGCGCCCCCUGGUAUUCCGGGGGGCAUGCCUGUUCGAGCGUCAUUUCACCACUCAAGCCUCGCUUGGUAUUGGGCAACGCGGUCCGCCGCGUGCCUCAAAUCGUCCGGCUGGGUCUUCUGUCCCCUAAGCGUUGUGGAAACUAUUCGCUAAAGGGUGUUCGGGAGGCUACGCCGUAAAACAACCCCAUUUCUAAGGUUGACCUCGGAUCAGGUAGGGAUACCCGCUGAACUUAAGCAUAUCAAUAAGCGGAGGA
RNAcentral lists this unclassified non-coding RNA (332 nucleotides) under soil metagenome. RNAcentral describes it as "partial contains 5.8S ribosomal RNA, internal transcribed spacer 2, and large subunit ribosomal RNA". The stretch from base 1 to 121 matches the Rfam family "5.8S ribosomal RNA", at positions 35 to 154 of the family's 154-position model. The record is from RNAcentral.